Oryza barthii is the source of this 192-nucleotide non-coding RNA. NCBI's taxonomy places the organism in Eukaryota, Viridiplantae, Streptophyta, Magnoliopsida, Poales, Poaceae. The record is from Rfam.
UCUGGUUUCCGUGUCCAACAUUUGACCAUCCGUCUUAUUUGAAAAAAUUAUAAAAAAAUUAAAAAGAUAAGUCACGCAUAAAGUAUUAAUCAUGUUUUAUUAUCCAACAUCAAUGAAAAUACUAAUUAUAAAAAAAUUUCAUAUAAAACGAACAGUCAAACGUUAGUACGGAAAUUCAAGGUUUGUCUUUUU